UACGUAGGGGGCAAGCGUUGUCCGGAAUCAUUGGGCGUAAAGAGCGUGUAGGCGGCUCGGUAAGUCCGCUCUGAAAGCCCGGGGCUCAACCCCGGGAGGCGGGCGGAUACUGUCGGGCUAGAGUCCGGAAGAGGCGAGUGGAAUUCCUGGUGUAGCGGUGAAAUGCGCAGAUAUCAGGAGGAACACCAGCGGCGAAGGCGGCACUCUGGGCUGGAACUGACGCUGAGGAGCGAAAGCGUGGGUAGCAAACAGG
RNAcentral lists this ribosomal RNA (253 nucleotides) under uncultured bacterium. Its description in RNAcentral is "partial 16S ribosomal RNA". It matches the Rfam family "Bacterial small subunit ribosomal RNA", at positions 524 to 776 of the family's 1533-position model. The record is from RNAcentral.